GAUGAACGCUGGCGGUGUGCCUAACACAUGCAAGUCGAGCGAAAAGAUAAGGAGCUCGUGCCCUUAACGUUGGCGGCGGACGGGUGAGUAACACGUGCGUAACCUACCUAUAUUACGGGAAGAACACCGGGAAACAGGUGACAAUGCCGGAGAAUACGUAGUACCGCAGAGUGCUAAAGUGAAUGGUGGUUUUGCUAUCACAUAGAGACGGACCCGCACCGGAUUAGCUAGUUGGUAAGGGAACGGCUUACCAAGGCAACGAUACGUAGCCGACCUGAGAGGAUGAUCGGCCACACUGGAACUGAGACACGGUCCAGACUCCUACGGGAGGCAGCAGUGGGGAAUCUUCCACAAUGGGCGCAAGCCUGACCCAGCCACGCCGCGUGAGUGAUGAAGGUCUUCGGAUCGUAAAGCUCUUUUGUUGGGAAAGAACAACAGUGUAAGUAACUGUGCACGUCUUGACGGUACCUAAUCAGAAAGCCCCGGCUAACUACGUG
RNAcentral lists this ribosomal RNA (497 nucleotides) under uncultured bacterium. RNAcentral's name for it is "partial 16S ribosomal RNA". It matches the Rfam family "Bacterial small subunit ribosomal RNA", at positions 28 to 507 of the family's 1533-position model. The record is from RNAcentral.